Long non-coding RNA from Saccostrea cuccullata (small rock oyster), 101 nucleotides. RefSeq lists it as uncharacterized. Lineage: Eukaryota; Metazoa; Mollusca; Bivalvia; Ostreida; Ostreidae. The transcript has 2 exons. The record is from RefSeq and is a predicted model, not a curated record.
AAAAACAAUAUGUUCCCCAACUUCGUUUGGGGAACAUAACUAAAACUAGAUAGUCUUGUUGCUACAGCAACAAAUAAGGUCUUCCGUUCUUCAGACUUUUU